GCCGGGGGCACAUGCCUGCCAUUCCCCACGGCGCUCUCAUCCUCCGAUUAUAGGGCGCUUCUGGCACCCCCAGGGGGGCCCUGUGGCUCUGGGACCGGACUCCCUGCUGCUUUAGGGCAAAGCCAGUGGGGACCGGCUGGGCCAGCCACCUGUCUGCCAUCACAUGGACACAGAUGGUGACAGACUGACAUGAUGCAUCCACACGUAAAGAAAAAGAAAAGUCCCCUCCUUCCGGAGCCAGCGCUGUUAAGGAAGGGCUCACCAGGCCUGGUGCUGAUUCAUAUGUGCCAGUCCUGCGGGGAGCUGUGUGCUUCUGGAGAGAGAAGUAGACUCAAUCUCAGGCAGUAAGGCAAGUAACGGGCUCUUCCCGGACUGUGUACCCAGCACCCUGUCGGCCACUGUGUACCUAGCACUCUGCUGGCCACUGGGGGAGAGAGCAAGUGAAAGGGAGACAUCUGUUUUGCCCCCACUGUCCCCUGGGGAAGGUGAGAUGCACAAGAAACCACACCAGGAGUAGGAGUCCUGGCCCGACCGGCCUGUGGACCUCCCAGAGGCUGUGGGAGCAGUCAGUGAGUGGCAUUUGGGAUUAGACCCUAAAUCUGAAAGUCA
Molecule: long non-coding RNA, 609 nt
Organism: Suricata suricatta (meerkat)
Lineage: Eukaryota; Metazoa; Chordata; Mammalia; Carnivora; Herpestidae
Exons: 3
Source: RefSeq, a predicted model, not a curated record